Molecule: transfer RNA, 73 nt
Filed under: Ailuropoda melanoleuca (giant panda)
Lineage: Eukaryota; Metazoa; Chordata; Mammalia; Carnivora; Ursidae
Rfam family: tRNA
About the family: Transfer RNA (tRNA) molecules are approximately 80 nucleotides in length. Their secondary structure includes four short double-helical elements and three loops (D, anti-codon, and T loops).
Source: Rfam by way of RNAcentral
GCCUGGCUGGCUCAGUUGGUAGAGCAUGGAACUCUUGAUCUUGGGAUGGUGAGUUCAAGUCCCACGUUGUGUA